RNAcentral lists this transfer RNA (68 nucleotides) under Anadara cornea. Its description in RNAcentral is "tRNA-Val". The record is from RNAcentral. Lineage: Eukaryota; Metazoa; Mollusca; Bivalvia; Arcoida; Arcidae.
UCAGUUCUAAUUUUAUGUAUAAUUCCGGGCUUUUAACCCGAAGUAGAAGAAUAGUGCUUCAGAACGGG